CUCCUCAACUUGCAUAUACUCUGGUAUAUGCUCCAAGGGGUCCAAAACUACCUAUUAACCCCAACAAAACAGCAACUAUAACACAUAAUCAUGCUUACCUCAUUAAAGCAUCAAAACUAAGCUUUCAAACCUAACCAUGCAACUCUACCCUUAACCAUUUGAAAAGCUGUUGAAACUCAUUAAAACAAACGUAAGGACUUCCCUUACCUCUUGAAAACAGAAGAGGAACAACCAACUCAGCAACUCCUCUUCAACUAUUACCAAACCCUCACUUUUCUCUCUUUUUUCUCCAAAACGUUUAAACCCUUUGCAAAUGACCAAACCUUCUGCAUGAGCUGAUUAAAGCUUGCAGAUGAGUCAAAGGGAGACGUGGCCUAACCUCUGAUCAUGAUCUGGAGGUGAACACCUGUCCAAACC
Molecule: long non-coding RNA, 417 nt
Filed under: Manihot esculenta (cassava)
Lineage: Eukaryota; Viridiplantae; Streptophyta; Magnoliopsida; Malpighiales; Euphorbiaceae
Description: long non-coding RNA (MESC_LNC008442)
Source: RNAcentral